Molecule: ribosomal RNA, 468 nt
Filed under: uncultured bacterium
Lineage: Bacteria
Description: partial 16S ribosomal RNA
Rfam family: Bacterial small subunit ribosomal RNA
Source: RNAcentral
GACGAACGCUGGCGGCGUGCUUAACACAUGCAAGUCGAACGGAAAGGCCCUGCUUUUGUGGGGUGCUCGAGUGGCGAACGGGUGAGUAACACGUGAGUAACCUGCCCUUGACUUUGGGAUAACUUCAGGAAACUGGGGCUAAUACCGGCUAGGAGCUCCUGCUGCUGGGUGGGGGUUGGAAAGUUUCGGCGGUUGGGGAUGGACUCGCGGCUUAUCAGCUUGUUGGUGGGGUAGUGGCUUACCAAGGCUUUGACGGGUAGCCGGCCUGAGAGGGUGACCGGCCACAUUGGGACUGAGAUACGGCCCAGACUCCUACGGGAGGCAGCAGUGGGGAAUAUUGCACAAUGGGCGGAAGCCUGAUGCAGCAACGCCGCGUGCGGGAUGACGGCCUUCGGGUUGUAAACCGCUUUCGCCUGUGACGAAGCGUGAGUGACGGUAAUGGGUAAAGAAGCACCGGCUAACUACGUG